Phrynosoma platyrhinos (Desert horned lizard) is the source of this 78-nucleotide non-coding RNA. NCBI's taxonomy places the organism in Eukaryota, Metazoa, Chordata, Lepidosauria, Squamata, Phrynosomatidae. The record is from the annotation of a GenBank genome assembly.
GCCAGUGUGGUGGAGUGGUUAGAGCAUUGGACUAAGAUUCCAGAGACUGGGGUUUGACUCCAUGGAAACCCUUUGGCG